RNAcentral lists this ribosomal RNA (496 nucleotides) under uncultured bacterium. RNAcentral describes it as "partial 16S ribosomal RNA". It matches the Rfam family "Bacterial small subunit ribosomal RNA", at positions 28 to 506 of the family's 1533-position model. The record is from RNAcentral.
GAUGAACGCUGGCGGCGUGCCUAAUACAUGCAAGUCGAGCGAACAGACGAGGAGCUUGCUCCUCUGACGUUAGCGGCGGACGGGUGAGUAACACGUGGAUAACCUACCUAUAAGACUGGGAUAACUUCGGGAAACCGGAGCUAAUACCGGAUAAUAUAUUGAACCGCAUGGUUCAAUAGUGAAAGACGGUUUUGCUGUCACUUAUAGAUGGAUCCGCGCCGCAUUAGCUAGUUGGUAAGGUAACGGCUUACCAAGGCAACGAUGCGUAGCCGACCUGAGAGGGGGAUCGGCCACAGGGGAACGGAACAACGGUCCAGACUCCUACGGGGGGCAGCAGUGGGGAAUUUUCCGAAAGGGGCGAAAGCCUGACGGGGCAACGCCGGGGGAGUGAUGAAGGUCUUCGGAUCGUAAAACUCUGUUAUUAGGGAAAAAAAAAUGUGUAAGUAACUAUGCACGUUUUGACGGUACCUAAUCAGAAAGCCACGGCUAACUACGU